AUGAAAUUUUCCAUUUCAUCUGAGGAAAUGAAGUGCCUUAACCUGAAAUUUGGAACAUCUAACCUGGAUAAGAAGGGAUACGAUGAGCUACUUGCACUUCCUGUCAGCUUUCAUGACUACCAAGGUCUUGAUCCAUAUGAUCUAGUGUGGGCUAAAAUAACAGAGGGAGGGAAGGGUCAACAUUUUCUCACCCCUUUCCGGCCAAUGUGCUCGGCCAUCUGGCCGCUGGCGAUGGCCCCGACCAUGGCGCCGAUGUGGACAGCGAGUCGAACGCCAAGAACUGCAUCACGUGCAGGCACGAAGUUACUCAACAUCUUUAGUCCAAGAAGAAGUGGAAACAGUGCAAGCUUAGAUGCUCCAGGCACAACCUUCUCAUAG
Molecule: ribosomal RNA, 378 nt
Filed under: Triticum aestivum (bread wheat)
Lineage: Eukaryota; Viridiplantae; Streptophyta; Magnoliopsida; Poales; Poaceae
Description: partial small subunit ribosomal RNA
Source: RNAcentral